GACGAACGCUGGCGGCGUGCUUAACACAUGCAAGUCGAACGGAAAGGCCCUGCUUUUGUGGUGUGCUCGAGUGGCGAACGGGUGAAUAACACGUGAGUAACCCGCUCUUGACUUUGGGAAAACUUGAAGAAAGUGGGGCUAAUACCGGAUAGGAGCUCCUGCUGCUUGGUGGUGGUUGGAAAGUUUCGGUGGUUGGGGUUGGACUCGCGGCUUAUCAGCUUGUUGGUGGGGUAGUGGCUUACCAAGGCUUCGAUGGGUAGCCGGCCUGGGGGGGUGACCGGCCACAUUGGGACUGAGAUACGGCCCAGACUCCUACGGGAGGCAGCAGUGGGGAAUAUUGCACAAUGGGCGGAAGCCUGAUGCAGCAACGCCGCGUGCGGGAUGACGGCCUUCGGGUUGUAAACCGCUUUCGCCUGUGACGAAGCGUGAGUGACGGUAAUGGGUAAAGAAGCACCGGCUAACUACGUG
This 468-nucleotide ribosomal RNA is filed under the name uncultured bacterium. Its description in RNAcentral is "partial 16S ribosomal RNA". It matches the Rfam family "Bacterial small subunit ribosomal RNA", at positions 28 to 507 of the family's 1533-position model. The record is from RNAcentral.